UGGCUUCUGCGAAGGAUCAAGGUACCACCGAAGAAAUUACCAAAUUUUCAAUGAAGAUAGAAUCAAAUUAUUGGCCUUUGAGCAAAUCCAUGUGUCAACAGAGUUAAUUUUUUCCAGAGUUAUGAUGAUCCCACCACCAGAAAGAGAAGAGAAAGAAAAUGGAAUUGAGAGUGACAUGGAGAAGUGGAGAGAAGUUGUCAUCUUCAAGUAGCAAUUGAUAAGGUUUGAUAUUUGAAAGUGGGUCAGAUAGUGAUGGAAAAGUUGAUG
RNAcentral lists this unclassified non-coding RNA (267 nucleotides) under Hevea brasiliensis (rubber tree). The record is from RNAcentral. Lineage: Eukaryota; Viridiplantae; Streptophyta; Magnoliopsida; Malpighiales; Euphorbiaceae.